GAUGAACGCUGGCGGCGUGCUUAACACAUGCAAGUCGAACGAAGCGACUAUGAUUGAGAUUUCGGUUGAUUGAUUAGUUGACUUAGUGGCGGACGGGUGAGUAACGCGUGGGUAACCUGCCUCGUACAGGGGGAUAACAGUUAGAAAUGACUGCUAAUACCGCAUAACCCGCUAGGGUCGCAUGACCCGGACGGAAAAGAUUUAUCGGUACGAGAUGGACCCGCGUCUGAUUAGCUAGUUGGUGAGGUAACGGCCCACCAAGGCGACGAUCAGUAGCCGGCCUGAGAGGGUGAACGGCCACAUUGGGACUGAGACACCGGCCCAA
This 325-nucleotide ribosomal RNA is filed under the name uncultured bacterium. RNAcentral describes it as "bacterial SSU rRNA". It matches the Rfam family "Bacterial small subunit ribosomal RNA", at positions 28 to 334 of the family's 1533-position model. The record is from RNAcentral.